AUGACUACCUUGGAUAAGACCAAAACUAUUGCAUACAUGCAUAUUUGUCAGGUGAUUUCUAGUGCAAACUAUUUAAUAAUAUAUUUAUGUUAUCCAGAACAAAAAUACUUCACAUACUUUUGUGUUUUGUCUAAUUGCAGGUGUAUGGGACAUUUGUACAAUCCACAUAUGAAGAUAAGGGAAAAGGAUAAGUUUAGGUGCUGUUCAAAAAGUCUUCUCACGCCACUUUUGGGCCAAGAGAAGAUAGAGUCCAAGUCUCUCACAUUCUGGAUUCAGAUUCGGACUACACAGACAUACCUGACUCAAAACGACAACAACUUUUUCAUACGGACUCCGAAUUGGGUGAUUCUUUUUUUGUUGGAAAGUAGAUUUCAUGCUCUUUCCAGCACAAUUGGAAUCACCUUAAAAUCCGUCCGGAGCGUUGAGUUAUGGACGAAACAAUCUGACGCUGCACCAGAAUCCGAGUCAAACUACAAGUCCAAAGGUGUUACGUCACCUCCACUUGGGCCCAUUGGCCUUGUACGACCUAGGGUUAGUUUUAGGAUGCCUUGGGACGUCCUCCCACCUUCUUAG
Molecule: ribosomal RNA, 573 nt
Filed under: Triticum aestivum (bread wheat)
Lineage: Eukaryota; Viridiplantae; Streptophyta; Magnoliopsida; Poales; Poaceae
Description: partial small subunit ribosomal RNA
Source: RNAcentral